AGUGAACGCUGGCGGUAGGCCUAACACAUGCAAGUCGAACGGCAGCACAGUAAGAGCUUGCUCUUACGGGUGGCGAGUGGCGGACGGGUGAGGAAUACAUCGGAAUCUACUUUUUCGUGGGGGAUAACGUAGGGAAACUUACGCCAAUACCGCAUACGACCUACGGGUGAAAGCAGGGGAUCUUCCGACCUUGCGCGAGUGAAUGAGCCGAUGUCGGAUUAGCUAGUUGGCGGGGUAAAGGCCCACCAAGGCGACGAUCCGUAGCUGGUCUGAGAGGAUGAUCAGCCGCACUGGAACUGAGACACGGUCCAGACUCCUACGGGAGGCAGCAGUGGGGAAUAUUGGACAAUGGGCGCAAGCCUGAUCCAGCCAUACCGCGUGUGUGAAGAAGGCCUUCGGGUUGUAAAGCCCUUUUGUUUGGAAAGAAAAGCAGCAGGUUAAUACCCCGCUGUUCUGACGGUACCCAAAGAAUAAGCACCGGCUAACUUCGUG
This 492-nucleotide ribosomal RNA is filed under the name uncultured bacterium. Its description in RNAcentral is "partial 16S ribosomal RNA". It matches the Rfam family "Bacterial small subunit ribosomal RNA", at positions 29 to 507 of the family's 1533-position model. The record is from RNAcentral.